ACAAGCGGUGGAGUCAUGUGGUUUAAUUCGAUGAUACGCGAGAACCUUACCGGGUUUGACAUGCAGGUGAUCGCCGUUGAAAGACGGUUUCCUCUUCGGAGGCACCUGCACAGGUGCUGCAUGGCUGUCGUCAGCUCGUGUCGUGAGAUGUUGGGUUAAGUCCCGCAACGAGCGCAACCCUUGUCUUUAGUUACCAUCAUUCAGUUGGGGACUCUAGAGAGACUGCCGGUGAUAAACCGGAGGAAGGUGGGGAUGACGUCAAAUCAUCAUGCCCCUUAUGGCCUGGGCUACAAACGUAAUACAAUGGCGUAUACAAAGGGAUGCGAAAGGGCGACCUGGAGCAAAACUCACAAAGUACGUCUCAGUUCAGAUUGGAGUCUGCAACUCGACUCCAUGAAGGCGGAAUCGCUAGUAAUCGCGGAUCAGCAUGCCGCGGUGAAUACGUUCUCGGGGUUU
RNAcentral lists this ribosomal RNA (456 nucleotides) under uncultured Erysipelothrix sp. RNAcentral describes it as "bacterial SSU rRNA". It matches the Rfam family "Bacterial small subunit ribosomal RNA", at positions 925 to 1382 of the family's 1533-position model. The record is from RNAcentral. Lineage: Bacteria; Bacillati; Bacillota; Erysipelotrichia; Erysipelotrichales; Erysipelotrichaceae.